AUGCUAACAACAUUUAAUAUUGUUGGGUACAUAACCGAGAGAGAACUAAAUAAUGGAUGUGGUGUUCCGUCAAUAUGCAACCCGUUGCAUAUUGAGCUCCACUUAAUUUGUAGUUUUGGUUGUUGCACUUUGCCUUGUCAUGCAUAUUUAAACGGGACAUGGAUCAUACUUGUUUGCGCAUCGUGCCAUUUUGUUGUAGUGAUUGUUUACUAUGUUGUUUGCUUUCUUUCCGGUGUACUUCGUCUUGGUAAUCCGGUAACGUCGUGUUGUGAGGAUUCGUUCGACAACGUUCGUUUGUCUUCUUCAUGGACUCGCUCUUCUUCCUUGCGGGAUCUCAGGUGUCGAUGUUACCGAGCAGGUGACGAAACCAAGCUCAAGGAGGAGCUCGAUGAAGAUCUUGUCCUUUGUGUUGUUUCAUUCUAG
RNAcentral lists this ribosomal RNA (423 nucleotides) under Triticum aestivum (bread wheat). RNAcentral describes it as "partial small subunit ribosomal RNA". The record is from RNAcentral. Lineage: Eukaryota; Viridiplantae; Streptophyta; Magnoliopsida; Poales; Poaceae.